UACAUACAUACAUACAUACAUACAUACAUACAUACAUACAUACAUACAUACAUACAUACAUACAUACAUACAUACAUACAUACAUACAUACAUACAUACAUACAUACAUACAUACAUACAUACAUACAUACAUCAGUCCCUACUCUUAAGAUGUGGAUUCCAAACAUGUCCGAGACGCUACAUGUUGACAACAAUAUUAGACUUGUGUUGGCAGAUGAUAAACCAGAGCAGAGCAGAGCAGAGCAGAGCAUGUUUGGAAGACAUGGACACCAUGCUGAGAGAAUGGAUGGAUGGAGCGGCUGUGGGCUUGUACACUCUGUGGAGUUUAGAAGGAUGAGAGGGCAUCUGAUUGAAACAUAUAUGAGAUUAUUAAGGGUUUGGACACGCAGGGCAGGGCAGGGCAGGGCAGGGCAGGCAGUUCUAGCAAGGGCAGGCAAUGGUGUAAUUGUAAUCUAUCAGCUAGUUGUACAUAUAUGGUCAUUUUGUGAGAUGUGGUUCUGACAGCCAGUCCUCCCAGCCUCCGCUAUUGGGACCUCCAGCCUUCCUAGCUUGCAUUGCUUUGUGUGUGUUGGUCUGUGUGUGUGUGUGCCCGUGUCGCCUAGUGGCCAGUGUGCCUGCCUGUCUGUGCCUGUGUGUGUGUCAGCCUCCAAUGGGAAGAGUGAGGGAGGGAGUAGCCAGUAGUUUGGGGGACGGUUGGUGUUUAGGCGCCGAGUUUGAAACAUUCAUUGCGAGCUGAGACAGCGCGGCGGGCGGAUGGGUGUGCGGGGCUGGGGCUUAGAGACACAGACGGAGAGAGUGGAUUUGGGCGAGUGAGGGGACUUUUGUGCGGGCAACAGACGGUGCAAUCCGGGCAGAGAAAGCAAGCAAGCAGCAACUCGUGGUGCGGGCGGGCGGGAGCGCGCUGUGCAAGGCAAGGCAAGGCAAGGCAAGGCAAGGCGGGGACGCGCCGAGCAGAUCGAUCGAUCGGUCGGAUCGGAGAGGAGUUAAAGGCAGGGGGCCUGUCCAGAAUAUCACAAGUGAGUGUCAGUAUGCGUGGCCUGCUGCCUGUGAAGUUUGGAGGCUUUAGUGUGAAUUUUGAAUUUUUGGUGAAAUAGUGAAAAUUCCAAGUUUGGCCAAAUCUUGGAAACCGGGUCCCGAGAGAGCGAGGGACUUAGACUGAGACAAGGCGGUAAGUAAAACAUGGGCAGAAUUGUAAGUCUGCAGACACACACACGCACAGAUACAACACAAACAGGCUGGGCUGACAAAGACAUAUCUACUCUACACACACACACACACACACACUGGAGUGAGUUCUUUGACUUCUUGACUGACUUUCCUGUUUCUUAUCUUUGUUUGCAGAUGCAGACCUCCCUCGACAAUGAAGAAUGAAGGACCAGGCUUGGUGGUGCUGGUGCUGCUGAUGCUGCUGAGAGCUGGUUGCUCUUACAAUGAAAUAAUACAAAUCACACAAACACCUUCAGUCACUUAAUAAAAUACUUGGGGAAAAGUCCAAGUCCCAACUCAGUAUAAAUAAGAAGGUGGGUGAAGGCACAAAGCACAAAGCACAAAGCACACGCUACCUGGUCUAUAACAGGAAGGCGCACUGAUAGCACACACGCACACAUCCUGAGUACAAUGAAAUGAAAUAAAGUGCACAAAUCACAAAAAAACACAAACACUUGACUUACUGUCACUUAAUACAAAAAUCUUGGCGAAAAUCACAGUCAGUCCUGGUCUAUAACAGGAAGGCUGGGGCCCAUAAGACAAACCUCCUGGGCUAGUAUACAUAGAUAGAUGGGUGAAGGGCCAAAGCACACGCCACCUGGUCUAUAACAGGAAGGCAUGAGAUUAAUAGCAGCCCUAUUAGCCUCUGUCCUAAAUGGCUAAGUGUCUGUGUGUGUGUGUGUACAGACAGACAGAUAGAUAGACAGAUAG
This is a long non-coding RNA of Leucoraja erinaceus (little skate), 1917 nucleotides long. RefSeq lists it as uncharacterized. The transcript is spliced from 3 exons. The record is from RefSeq and is a predicted model, not a curated record. Lineage: Eukaryota; Metazoa; Chordata; Chondrichthyes; Rajiformes; Rajidae.